Molecule: ribosomal RNA, 377 nt
Filed under: uncultured bacterium
Lineage: Bacteria
Description: bacterial SSU rRNA
Rfam family: Bacterial small subunit ribosomal RNA
Source: RNAcentral
AUACGUAGGGGGCAAGCGUUGUCCGGAAUCAUUGGGCGUAAAGGGCGCGUAGGCGGAUCAUUAAGUCUGGUGUGAAAACUUGGGGCUCAACCCCAAGCCUGCAUCGGAAACUGAUAAUCUUGAGGGCAGGAGAGGAAAGUGGAAUUCCACGUGUAGCGGUGAAAUGCGUAGAGAUGUGGAGGAACACCAGUGGCGAAGGCGACUUUCUGGACUGUAACUGACGCUGAGGCGCGAAAGCGUGGGGAGCGAACAGGAUUAGAUACCCUGGUAGUCCACGCCGUAAACGAUGAGUGCUAGGUGUAGAGGGUAUCGACCCCUUCUGUGCCGCAGUUAACACAAUAAGCACUCCGCCUGGGGAGUACGGCCGCAAGGUUGAA